UGAGUACGAGCGGCUACGGCCGCGAAGUGGAUGAUGUCAAGCUUCCAAGAAAAGCCCUAUACCCGUUAAGGCAUGAUGGCCUGUACCCGAAACCGACACAGGUGGGGUGGUAGAGAAUACCGAGGGGCGCGAGGUAACUCUCUCUAAGGAACUCGGCAAAAUGGCCCCGUAACUUCGGGAGAAGGGGUGCCACCGCGAGGUGGUCGCAGUGAAGAGGCCCAGGCGACUGUUUACCAAAAACACAGGUCUCCGCUAAGUCGCAAGACGAUGUAUGGGGGCUGACGCCUGCCCAGUGCCGGAAGGUUAAGGAAGCUGGUCAGCGCAAGCGAAGCUGGCGACUGAAGCCCCGGUGAACGGCGGCCGUAACAAUAACGGUCCUAAGGUAGCGAAAUUCCUUGUCGGGUAAGUUCCGACCCGCACGAAAGGCGUAACGAUCUGGGCGCUGUCUCGGAGAGAGGCUCGGCGAAAUAGAAUUGUCUGUGAAGAUGCGGACUACGUGCACCCGGACAGAAAGACCCUAUGAAGCUUUACUGUAGCUUGGUAUUGUGCUCGGGCUCGGAAUGCGCAGGAUAGGUGGGAGGCUUUGAUCCAUUGCUUGCGGGUGAUGGUGAGCCACUGGUGAGAUACCACUCUUUCCGAGCUAGAGUUCUAACAGCAACCCGUUAUCCGGGUGCUGGACAGUAUCAGGUGGGCAGUUUGACUGGGGCGGUCGCCUCCUAAAGGUAACGGAGGCGCGCAAAGGUCUGCUCAGGCUGGUUGGAAAUCAGCCGACGAGUGUAAAAGCAGAAGCAGGCUUGACUGUGAGACCUACAAGUCGAACAGGGAGGAAACUCGGCUUUAGUGAUCCGACGGUUCUGCGUGGAAGGGCCGUCGCUCAACGGAUAAAAGUUACUCUAAGGAUAACAGGCUGAUCUCCCCCAAGAGUUCACAUCGACGGGGAGGUUUGGCACCUCGAUGUCGGCUCAUCGCAACCUGGGGCUGAAGUCGGUCCCAAGGGUUGGGCUGUUCGCCCAUUAAAGCGGUACGCGAGCUGGGUUCAGAACGUCGUGAGACAGUUCGGUCCAUAUCCGGUGCACGCGCAGGAAUAUUGAGAGGAUUUCUCCCUAGUACGAGAGGACCGGGAGGAACGCACCUCUGGUGUGCCAGUUAUCGUGCCAACGGUAAACGCUGGGUAGCCAUGUGCGGAGUGGAUAACCGCUGAAAGCAUCUAAGUGGGAAGCCCACCUCAAGAUGAGUAUUCCCAUGGCAUAAGCCAGUAAGGUCACGGGAAGAACACCCGUUGAUAGGCUCUACGUGGAAGCGCAGUAAUGUGUGAAGCGGAGGAGUACUAAUAGACCGAGGGCUUGAC
RNAcentral lists this ribosomal RNA (1348 nucleotides) under metagenome. RNAcentral describes it as "bacterial LSU rRNA". It matches the Rfam family "Bacterial large subunit ribosomal RNA", at positions 1564 to 2925 of the family's 2925-position model. The record is from RNAcentral.